GAACCUUACCAAGGUUUGACAUGCAGGGAAAAGCCUCAGAGAUGGGGUGUCCGUAAGGGUCCUGCACAGGUGGUGCAUGGCUGUCGUCAGCUCGUGUCGUGAGAUGUUGGGUUAAGUCCCGCAACGAGCGCAACCCUCGUUCUAUGUUGCCAGCGGAUAAUGCCGGGGACUCAUAGGAGACUGCCGGGGUCAACUCGGAGGAAGGUGGGGAUGACGUCAAGUCAUCAUGCCCCUUAUGUCUUGGGCUGCAAACAUGCUACAAUGGCCGGUACAGAGGGCUGCGAAACCGCAAGGUUGAGCGAAUCUCAAAAAGCCGGUCUCAGUUCGGAUUGGGGUCUGCAACUCGACCCCAUGAAGUCGGAGUCGCUAGUAAUCGCAGAUCAGCAACGCUGCGGUGAAUACGUUCCCGGGCCUUGUCACACCGA
RNAcentral lists this ribosomal RNA (425 nucleotides) under uncultured soil bacterium. RNAcentral describes it as "bacterial SSU rRNA". It matches the Rfam family "Bacterial small subunit ribosomal RNA", at positions 966 to 1393 of the family's 1533-position model. The record is from RNAcentral.